GUCGAACGGUAGCAGGAAGCAGCUUGCUGCUUCGCUGACGAGUGGCGGACGGGUGAGUAAUGUCUGGGAAACUGCCUGAUGGAGGGGGAUAACUACUGGAAACGGUAGUUAAUACCGCAUAACGUCGCAAGACCAAAGAGGGGGACCUUCGGGCCUCUUGCCAUCGGAUGUGCCCAGAUGGGAUUAGCUAGUAGGUGGGGUAACGGCUCACCUAGGCGACGAUCCCUAGCUGGUCUGAGAGGAUGACCAGCCACACUGGAACUGAGACACGGUCCAGACUCCUACGGGAGGCAGCAGUGGGGAAUAUUGCACAAUGGGCGCAAGCCUGAUGCAGCCAUGCCGCGUGUAUGAAGAAGGCCUUCGGGUUGUAAAGUACUUUCAGCGGGGAGGAAGGUGUUGAGGUUAAUAACCUCAGCAAUUGACGUUACCCGCAGGAGAAGCACCGGCUAACUCCGUGCCAGCAGCCGCGGUAAUACGGAGGGUGCAAGCGUUAAUCGGAAUUACUGGGCGUAAAGCGCACGCAGGCGGUCUGUCAAGUCGGAUGUGAAAUCCCCGGGCACAACCUGGGAACUGCAUUCGAAACUGGCAGGCUAGAGUCUUGUAGAGGGGGGUAGAAUUCCAGGUGUAGCGGUGAAAUGCGUAGAGAUCUGGAGGAAUACCGGUG
This 664-nucleotide ribosomal RNA is filed under the name uncultured Enterobacter sp. RNAcentral describes it as "bacterial SSU rRNA". It matches the Rfam family "Bacterial small subunit ribosomal RNA", at positions 61 to 714 of the family's 1533-position model. Lineage: Bacteria; Pseudomonadati; Pseudomonadota; Gammaproteobacteria; Enterobacterales; Enterobacteriaceae. The record is from RNAcentral.